AAAGGGAUUUAGGGGUGAGUUACUAAGUCAGUGUGUGUAAAGGGAUUUAGGGGUGAGUUACUAAGUCAGUGUGUGUGUGAAGGGGUUUAGGGAGUGAGCUACUAAGUCAGUGUGUGUGUGAAGGGGUUUAGGGGUGAGCUACUAAGUCAGUGUGUGUGUGUGUGGGUUUAGGGGUGAGCUACUAAUAUCAGUGUGUGUGUGAAGGGGUUUAGGGGUGAGCUACUAAGUCAGUGUGUGUGUGAAGGGGUUUAGGGGUGAGCUACUAAGUCAGUGUGUGUGUGAAGGGGUUUAGGGAGUGAGCUACUAAGUCAGUGUGUGUGUGAAGGGGGAUUUAGGGAGUGAGCUACUAAGACAGUGUGUGUGUGAAGGGGUUUAGGGAGUGAGCUACUAAGUCAGUGUGUGUGUGUGUGAAGGGGUUUCGGGAGUGAGCUACUAAGUCAGUGUGUGUGUGAAGGGGUUUAGGGGUGAGCUACUACGUUAGUGUGUGUGUGAAGGGGUUUAGGGGUGAGCUACUAAGACAGUGUGUGUGCGAAGGGGUUUAGGGGUGAGCUACUAAGUCAGUGUGUGUGUGAAGGGGUUUAGGGGUGAGCUACUAAGUCAG
This 601-nucleotide long non-coding RNA is filed under the name Salmo salar (Atlantic salmon). RNAcentral describes it as "lncRNA (ENSSSAG00000092464.1, ENSSSAG00000104722.1)". Lineage: Eukaryota; Metazoa; Chordata; Actinopteri; Salmoniformes; Salmonidae. The record is from RNAcentral.